RNAcentral lists this long non-coding RNA (4143 nucleotides) under Salmo salar (Atlantic salmon). RNAcentral's name for it is "lncRNA (ENSSSAG00000103475.1)". Lineage: Eukaryota; Metazoa; Chordata; Actinopteri; Salmoniformes; Salmonidae. The record is from RNAcentral.
GUUGCCAGGGUAACCUCCCCCAGCCAAUCAGCAGUCAUGGAUGAGAUGGAUCUACCCCAGAUGAAGAAGGAAGUGGAGAGCCUGAAAUACCAACUGGCCUUCAAGAGAGAGAAGUCUUCCAAGACAGUCACUGACAUGGUGAAGUGGAUCGAGGACGGCGUACCCGAGGACCCCUUCCUGAACCCUGAACUCAUGAAGAACAACCCCUGGGUGGAGAAGGGAAAGUGUGUCCUGUUGUAGACUGAUUACCGACCCCUGACCCUGCCGUGACCUCUGACCCCAGCCUGAUGGGGCAUGGCAGGACAGCACCCCCCCCUGCUAGUUUCAGCCACGUUGAUGCAUCACAGAUUACCUUUAAUUCUAUGUUGAUAUGAUAUGAAGUGUAUUUAUGCAGCCAGUCACUCACUCACUCAGUCAGCCAGUCACUCACUCACUCAGUCAGCCAGUCACUCACUCAGUCACUCACUCAGUCAUCCAGUCACUCACUCAGUCAGCCAGUCAGCCAGUCACUCAGUCAUCCAGUCACUCACUCACUCAGCCAGUCAGUUAUUCAGCCAGCCAGUCAGUUAGUCAGUCAGCCAGUCAGUCAGUCAGCCAGUCAGUUAGUCAGCCAGUCAGUCAGCCAGCCAGCUAGUCAGCCAGCCAGUCAGUCAGCCAGUCAGCCAGCCAGUCAGUCAGCCAGUCAGUCAGCCAGCCAGUCAGCCAGUCAUCCAGUCACUCACUCAGUCAGCCAGUCAGCCAGUCACUCAGUCAUCCAGUCACUCACUCACUCAGCCAGUCAGUUAUUCAGCCAGCCAGUCAGUUAGUCAGUCAGCCAGUCAGUCAGUCAGCCAGUCAGUCAGUCAGCCAGCCAGCUAGUCAGCCAGCCAGUCAGUCAGCCAGUCAGCCAGCCAGUCAGUCAGCCAGUCAGCCAGCCAGUCAGCCAGUCAGUCAGUCAGCCAGUCAGUCAGCCAGUCAGUCAGCCAGCCAGCCAGUCAGCGCAACACGGACGGGAACGGACACGGAAACACACACACACACACACACACACACACACACACACACACACACACACACACACACACACACACACUGUACAGACGAGCCCCUUUAACUUGUUAUUAAAUUAUUGAUUGUGUUUUUUUUGUUUUAUUUAUGUAUUUAUUGAUAAGCUCCUCCGCACGGCGGCCAUGUUGUGUUGUCUAUCUCCGCCCCACGCUCCCAACAACAACAACUGUACUGGCCAGGGAUAUACCAUACACCAUCGCUCUGGCCCCAACGUACGUGUGUGUGUGUGUGUGUGUGUGUGUGUGUGUGUGUGUGUGUGUGUAGCGUGUGUGUGUGUGUGUGUGUGUGUGUGCAGUGCUUAAUUUGAUCCCGUCACCUCUCCGUUUUGAACCGUUUUGUUUCCGGAAUCUAUUUGAUUGGAUCCAGAACCUCUCGUGACAUGAAAAAUAAUUUCCACUUCUUUGCAAUCAAAAAUAAUAAUAAUAAUUAAAAGUUGUCUCUUCAUUACCUCUCCUGCCCCUAAAGAAAACCGUAAUGUGAAAAAGCAGAUUUUCAGUCCGCGGUUUAAUAUUCUACGAGUUGAUUUGGGUUGAGACCAGACCAGGUUCUUACGUAACAUUUUAUAAUCUAUAUUUGAGACCGACUCGCGACGGUAAGUUAGAAGUGUAGAAAUGCGUCAUACUAGAACUAGAUUCUCUUCUCUAUGAAUCUAUGCUGUAAGCUGCCCCCCCCAAAAAAAAAAUAUUGAAUCAACUUCUAAAUAUUGUUUUACAAAAAAAAAUUCAAAAUAGAGAGUCAGAGAUGGAGAUAAGGCUUAUGGAAGGAGCGCGGUCGUCGACAAUCACCAGCGAGUCACUUGUGUUUCAGUGAAACUGGAAAGCAUUUUUUGUUUUUGGUGGCGAUAAUUUCCUCGUAUUGUAGCCUAUAAUAUGUGUCUCCACACACCGAGGCCUCAGGUUAUUGAUGAAUUCAAAACAAGGCCGUUUUUUAAAAAUAUAUUGAUCUCUAAUUCUCUAGUUUUGUCAGUGUCAAAGUAGACUGUCGUUUUUUUUGAUCAUUUGGUAUUAAAGAAUAUUCUGACCAAAGUCUCCAGUCGUGUAAAAAAACGACGUAGAAUCGCAUUUAAUGCGUUUUUAAAGGGACAACAUUUCCCCCCGGACCCUAGGAUACUGAAAAUGUUCCCCGGACCCUAGGAUACUGAAAAUGUCCCCCCGGACCCUAGGAUACUGAAAAUGUUCCCCGGACCCUAGGAUACUGAAAAUGUUCCCCGGACCCUAGGAUACUGAAAAUGUUCCCCGGACCCUAGGAUACUGAAAAUGUUCCCCGGACCCUAGGAUACUGAAAAUGUUCCCCGGACCCUAGGAUACUGAAAAUGUUCCCCGGACCCUAGGAUACUGAAAAUGUUCCCCGGACCCUAGGAUACUGAAAAUGUUCACUGGACCCUAGGAUACUGAAAAUGUUCCCCGAACCCUAGACUACUGAAAAUGUUCCCCGGACCCUAGGAUACUGAAAAUGUUCCCCGGACCCUAGGAUACUGAAAAUGUUCCCCGGACCCUAGGAUACUGAAAAUGUUCACUGGACCCUAGGAUACUGAAAAUGUUCCCCGAACCCUAGACUACUGAAAAUGUUCCCUGGACCCUAGGAUACUGAAAAUGUUCCCCGGACCCUAGGAUACUGAAAAUGUUCACUGGACCCUAGGAUACUGAAAAUGUUCCCCGAACCCUAGACUACUGAAAAUGUUCCCUGGACCCUAGGAUACUGAAAAUGUUCCCAGGACCCUAGGAUACUGAAAAUGUUCCCCGGACCCUAGGCUUCUGAAAAUGUCCCCCUGGACCCUAGACUACUGAAAAUGUUCCCUGGACCCUAGGAUACUGAAAAUGUUCCCAGGACCCUAGACUACUGAAAAUGUUCCCCGGACCCUAGGCUACUGAAAAUGUUCCCCGAACCCUAGACUACUGAAAAUGUUCCCAGGACCCUAGGCUACUGAAAAUGUCCCCAGACCCUAGGGUACUGAAAAUGUUCCCUGGACCCUAGGCUAAUGAAAAUGUUCCCCCGAACCCUAGGCUACUGAAAAUGUUCCCCGAACCCAAGGCUACUGAAAAUGUUCCCCUGGACCCUAGGCUACUGAAAAUGUUCCCUGGACCCUAGGCUACUGAAAAUGUUCCCCGAACCCUAGGCUACUGAAAAUGUUACCCGACCCUAGGCUACUGAAAACGUUCCUCAUGUGUGCACCUUGUGUAGGUGCCUCUACUAUACGAUUUGAUUUGAUUUGAUAUACUGCUCUAUGCCGCUACGCUAAUGUGAGGAUAUGAAUGCUUUAUUAUAAAAUUAGAAUUUUCUUUUUUUCACCUCCCGAUUUACAAAUUAAGCACUGUGUGUGUGUUUGUGUGUGUGUGUGUGUGUGUGUGUGUGUGUGUGUGUGUGUGUGUGUGUGUGUGUGUGUGUGUGUGUGUGUGUGUGUGUGUGUGUGUGUGUGUUAGUAUGGAUGAAAGGUAGAUGGUCCUUGAAGAUCUUUAGUGUUUAGGAAAUACUUCAUGCUAUGAAAAAAAGGGUGAAAGGUUUGGGCGGAAUAGAAGCAUCGGUCGUCUAUUAUUUACGUUACUAUGACAACGGUGGACCGGACCGGGUCUGUCUAUGUACCCAUUUGUUUGAAUUACCACAGCUAGAACCCGUGGAACCGUCUAGACGUGCCACAGCUAGAACCCGUGGGAACCGUCUAGACGUGCCACAGCUAGAACCCGUGGGAACCGUCUAGACGUGCCACAGCUAGAACCCGUGGAACCGUCUAGACGUGUCACAGCUAGAACCCGUGGGAACCGUCUAGACGUGCCGCAGAUAGAACCCGUGGAACCGUCUAGACGUGCCGCAGCUAGAACCCGUGGAACCGUCUAGACGUGCCGCAGAUAGAACCCGUAGAACAGUCUAGACGUGCCGCAGAUAGAACCCGUGGAACCGUCUAGACGUGGCCCGUUUCCUUGUGAUGAGAUCUGCUUUUGUAAAAAUGAUUAUGAUGCAUCUGAUCCUCUGUUACUUUAAAUGACGACGAGCAAUAAAGUUGGUGUCCUUUUGUGUAUAUAUAUAUAUAUAUAUAUAUAUAUAUUGCAUGUUUUACUAAUAAACGUUGAUCUUAGUCAAUAAAAAAGGGUUUUUAAGACA